CCGUAAUCGCCUGCCCAGUGACCGUCCUCGGCCUGCAGCGUGGCGUAGAAACGCAUGCCGUUGCGGGCGGCCUCCCGCGCCGUUCCGGCGGCCGGCAGCGUCCGCAGGAGCGCGUCCGUGUCCAGGCCGACGCUGUGCGCCUCCAGCGCCGUCUGCGCCCGUCGCCCUCCGGCCGCCUCCUCGUCCUCGACGCCGUCAUCCAGGUAGCACCAGCGCUGCCGGCCGCCCUCGCAGCGCAGCCGCCAGGAGGGCAGCGCCGUGGCUGCCGCCGUGCGCCACGGACCGCCGCGCCGCCGCACCACCCCGUCCGCCGCCAUCGCCACCGGUG
RNAcentral lists this long non-coding RNA (328 nucleotides) under Gallus gallus (chicken). Lineage: Eukaryota; Metazoa; Chordata; Aves; Galliformes; Phasianidae. The record is from RNAcentral.